CCUACGGGUGGCAGCAGUGGGGAAUAUUGGACAAUGGGCGAAAGCCUGAUCCAGCCAUGCCGCGUGUGUGAAGAAGGCCUUCGGGUUGUAAAGCACUUUCAGUGGGGAAGAAAGCCUUGGGGCUAAUACCCUCGAGGAAGGACAUCACCCACAGAAGAAGCACCGGCUAACUCCGUGCCAGCAGCCGCGGUAAUACGGAGGGUGCGCGCGUUAAUCGGAAUUACUGGGCGUAAAGCGCGCGUAGGCGGUCUGAUAAGCCGGUUGUGAAAGCCCCGGGCUCAACCUGGGAACGGCAUCCGGAACUGUCAGGCUAGAGUGCAGGAGAGGAAGGUAGAAUUCCCGGUGUAGCGGUGAAAUGCGUAGAGAUCGGGAGGAAUACCAGUGGCGAAGGCGGCCUUCUGGACUGACACUGACGCUGAGGUGCGAAAGCGUGGGUAGCAAACAGGAUUAGAUACCCCAGUAGUC
This 465-nucleotide ribosomal RNA is filed under the name Vreelandella stevensii. RNAcentral describes it as "partial 16S ribosomal RNA". It matches the Rfam family "Bacterial small subunit ribosomal RNA", at positions 338 to 795 of the family's 1533-position model. Lineage: Bacteria; Pseudomonadati; Pseudomonadota; Gammaproteobacteria; Oceanospirillales; Halomonadaceae. The record is from RNAcentral.